Molecule: long non-coding RNA, 361 nt
Filed under: Phoenix dactylifera (date palm)
Lineage: Eukaryota; Viridiplantae; Streptophyta; Magnoliopsida; Arecales; Arecaceae
Description: long non-coding RNA (PDAC_LNC008166)
Source: RNAcentral
AGUGCAUAAAUACGACUCUGUGUGCGCAGUCUCCCCCCUUUCUACUGCUUAGGAGAAGAAGGCUGAGCUGACUGAGCCGAAACAGGAGAAGCUUGCACUUGCUGGUUUCUUGUAGUUUGAGGCCUCUGAAAUGAUCGAAGGUCCUGUUGAGGACACUCAGCUACCUUAUGACCCUGCUGGCCGCAUCUGAAACAAGCACCAGAUAAUCGUCUACAGUGUUCAGUCUUAUGCAUACAACCACAUGCAUUACACUUAUGCUUCUCUUGCUGAAUAGUCUUUCCAUAAGAUCCUUGCUUCCCUGAUUGCCAAGAUUGGUUAUGUAAUUUUGCAGUCUUGCUAGAAUUCUGUCCACUGCGAGCAU